GUUGUCCUACGGGGCGCAGCAGUGAGGAAUAUUGGUCAAUGGGCGGGAGCCUGAACCAGCCAAGCCGCGUGAAGGAAGAAGGCGCCAAGCGUCGUAAACUUCUUUUGUCGGGGAACAAAGGGCGCCACGUGUGGCGUUGUGAGUGUACCCGAAGAAAAAGCAUCGGCUAACUCCGUGCCAGCAGCCGCGGUAAUACGGAGGAUGCGAGCGUUAUCCGGAUUUAUUGGGUUUAAAGGGUGCGUAGGCGGGCUUUUAAGUCAGCGGUAAAAAUUCGGGGCUCAACCCCGUCCGGCCGUUGAAACUGG
Molecule: ribosomal RNA, 305 nt
Filed under: uncultured bacterium
Lineage: Bacteria
Description: bacterial SSU rRNA
Rfam family: Bacterial small subunit ribosomal RNA
Source: RNAcentral